ACGGAGGGAACCCUGGCUGGUAGU
Molecule: non-coding RNA, 24 nt
Filed under: Cricetulus griseus (Chinese hamster)
Lineage: Eukaryota; Metazoa; Chordata; Mammalia; Rodentia; Cricetidae
Source: RNAcentral